UACGAAGGGGGCUAGCGUUGCUCGGAAUCACUGGGCGUAAAGCGCACGUAGGCGGAUUGCUAAGUCAGGGGUGAAAUCCUGGAGCUCAACUCCAGAACUGCCUUUGAUACUGGCGAUCUUGAGUCCGGGAGAGGUGAGUGGAACUGCGAGUGUAGAGGUGAAAUUCGUAGAUAUUCGCAAGAACACCAGUGGCGAAGGCGGCUCACUGGCCCGGUUCUGACGCUGAGGCGCGAAAGCGUGGGGAGCAAACAGG
Molecule: ribosomal RNA, 253 nt
Filed under: uncultured bacterium
Lineage: Bacteria
Description: partial 16S ribosomal RNA
Rfam family: Bacterial small subunit ribosomal RNA
Source: RNAcentral